This 282-nucleotide long non-coding RNA is filed under the name Homo sapiens (human). Its description in RNAcentral is "HSALNT0313832". The record is from RNAcentral. Lineage: Eukaryota; Metazoa; Chordata; Mammalia; Primates; Hominidae.
GAGGUGGGGGGGUCAGCCCCCCGCCCGGCCAGCAGCCCCGUCCGGGAGGGAGGUGGGGAGGUCAGCCCCCCGCCCGGCCAGCCGCCCCGUCCGGGAGGGAGUUGGGGGGGUCAGCCCCCUGCCCGGCCAGCCGCCCCAUCCGGGAGGUGAGGGGCGCCUCUGCCCGGCCGCCCCUACUGGGAAGUGAGGAGCCCCUCUGCCCGGCCGCCACCCCGUCUGGGAGGUGUACCCAACAGCUCAUUGAGAACGGGCCAUGAUGACAAUGGCGGUUUUGUGGAAUAG